Molecule: small nucleolar RNA, 203 nt
Filed under: Naumovozyma dairenensis CBS 421
Lineage: Eukaryota; Fungi; Ascomycota; Saccharomycetes; Saccharomycetales; Saccharomycetaceae
Source: RNAcentral
AACUCUGUCCAAAAGUUUUCCACCGCUAUAGACAGUACGACCUCGUUCUAAUCAUUUUUCAUAAUGAUAUUAAGCUUUGGUUCGUGAUAAGCGGUUUUUUAAGGAUAGAUCAAAGGCCUUCCUAUAAGAACUCGAGUGGAGUUUUCUUAAUCGUUUUGAUUAAUUUUUACAUGAGACUCGAGUGUCAGAGGAAGUUUAUAUUA